Non-coding RNA from Myotis brandtii (Brandt's bat), 76 nucleotides. NCBI's taxonomy places the organism in Eukaryota, Metazoa, Chordata, Mammalia, Chiroptera, Vespertilionidae. The record is from Rfam.
GGCAGUUCUUGGGUGAUGCACCCUGGAAUCGGGUUCCCUUCUCUCUGGUUUCGAGGUACAUCAUCAGAGAACCGCC